Molecule: ribosomal RNA, 835 nt
Filed under: uncultured bacterium
Lineage: Bacteria
Description: bacterial SSU rRNA
Rfam family: Bacterial small subunit ribosomal RNA
Source: RNAcentral
CCGGCGCACGGGUGCGUAACGCGUAUGCAACCUACCUUGUACUGGGGUAUAGCCCGGAGAAAUUCGGAUUAAUCCCCCAUAGUAUUACAUACUCGCAUGAGUUAUUAAUUAAAGGUUACGGUACAAGAUGGGCAUGCGUCCUAUUAGCUAGAUGGUGGGGUAACGGCUCACCAUGGCUACGAUAGGUAGGGGGCCUGAGAGGGUGGUCCCCCACACUGGUACUGAGACACGGACCAGACUCCUACGGGAGGCAGCAGUGAGGAAUAUUGGUCAAUGGGCGCAAGCCUGAACCAGCCAUGCCGCGUGCAGGAAGAAUGCCCUAUGGGUUGUAAGCUGCUUUUAUUUAGGAAUAAACUCUUGUACGUGUACAAGCCUGAAGGUACUAAAUGAAUAAGCACCGGCUAACUCCGUGCCAGCAGCCGCGGUAAUACGGAGGGUGCAAGCGUUAUCCGGAAUCAUUGGGUUUAAAGGGUCCGCAGGCGGAUUUAUAAGUCAGUGGUGAAAUCCUAUCGCUUAACGAUAGAACUGCCAUUGAUACUGUAAGUCUUGAAUUCGGUCGAAGUGGGCGGAAUGUGUAGUGUAGCGGUGAAAUGCAUAGAUAUUACACAGAACACCGAUAGCGAAGGCAGCUCACUAGGCCUGGAUUGACGCUCAGGGACGAAAGCGUGGGGAUCAAACAGGAUUAGAUACCCUGGUAGUCCACGCUGUAAACGAUGAUUACUCGUUUUCGGCGAUAUACAGUCGGAGACUAAGCGAAAGUGAUAAGUAAUCCACCUGGGGAGUACGAUCGCAAGGUUGAAACUCAAAGGAAUUGACGGGGGCCCGCACAAGCGGU